Molecule: ribosomal RNA, 1175 nt
Filed under: Bacillus sp. (in: firmicutes)
Lineage: Bacteria; Bacillati; Bacillota; Bacilli; Caryophanales; Bacillaceae
Description: bacterial SSU rRNA
Rfam family: Bacterial small subunit ribosomal RNA
Source: RNAcentral
AUAUGCAAGUCGAGCGGACAGAAGGGAGCUUGCUCCCGGAUGUUAGCGGCGGACGGGUGAGUAACACGUGGGUAACCUGCCUGUAAGACUGGGAUAACUCCGGGAAACCGGAGCUAAUACCGGAUAGUUCCUUGAACCGCAUGGUUCAAGGAUGAAAGACGGUUUCGGCUGUCACUUACAGAUGGACCCGCGGCGCAUUAGCUAGUUGGUGGGGUAAUGGCUCACCAAGGCGACGAUGCGUAGCCGACCUGAGAGGGUGAUCGGCCACACUGGGACUGAGACACGGCCCAGACUCCUACGGGAGGCAGCAGUAGGGAAUCUUCCGCAAUGGACGAAAGUCUGACGGAGCAACGCCGCGUGAGUGAUGAAGGUUUUCGGAUCGUAAAGCUCUGUUGUUAGGGAAGAACAAGUGCGAGAGUAACUGCUCGCACCUUGACGGUACCUAACCAGAAAGCCACGGCUAACUACGUGCCAGCAGCCGCGGUAAUACGUAGGUGGCAAGCGUUGUCCGGAAUUAUUGGGCGUAAAGGGCUCGCAGGCGGUUUCUUAAGUCUGAUGUGAAAGCCCCCGGCUCAACCGGGGAGGGUCAUUGGAAACUGGGAAACUUGAGUGCAGAAGAGGAGAGUGGAAUUCCACGUGUAGCGGUGAAAUGCGUAGAGAUGUGGAGGAACACCAGUGGCGAAGGCGACUCUCUGGUCUGUAACUGACGCUGAGGAGCGAAAGCGUGGGGAGCGAACAGGAUUAGAUACCCUGGUAGUCCACGCCGUAAACGAUGAGUGCUAAGUGUUAGGGGGUUUCCGCCCCUUAGUGCUGCAGCUAACGCAUUAAGCACUCCGCCUGGGGAGUACGGUCGCAAGACUGAAACUCAAAGGAAUUGACGGGGGCCCGCACAAGCGGUGGAGCAUGUGGUUUAAUUCGAAGCAACGCGAAGAACCUUACCAGGUCUUGACAUCCUCUGACAACCCUAGAGAUAGGGCUUUCCCUUCGGGGACAGAGUGACAGGUGGUGCAUGGUUGUCGUCAGCUCGUGUCGUGAGAUGUUGGGUUAAGUCCCGCAACGAGCGCAACCCUUGAUCUUAGUUGCCAGCAUUUAGUUGGGCACUCUAAGGUGACUGCCGGUGACAACCGGAGGAAGGUGGGGAUGACGUCAAUCAUCAUGCCCUUAUGACUGGGCUA